This 2259-nucleotide long non-coding RNA is filed under the name Sus scrofa (pig). RNAcentral describes it as "lncRNA (ENSSSCG00045025705.1)". Lineage: Eukaryota; Metazoa; Chordata; Mammalia; Artiodactyla; Suidae. The record is from RNAcentral.
UUUUUCUUUUGGUCAUAUGCAUGUGGAUUUACUUUUGAAAGUUACCUUUACUCCACUGUUUUGGUGUAAUUGUCAAUCAGGGUACACUGACCUCCUCUAGAGAUAAGUGUCAUUCACUUUAGGCCAUCUGAACAUCUCAACUUUGAAUCUUGAGUUAAUGGACAGAAGCAUAAAAAUCACAACCUUGUUACUUGUCAUCCACAGCAUGUUGAUAAAACUAUUACUCACUCCUGCCAUCCAGCACCCCUGAGCUGUACCUGUUCCCACUCUGCCAGACGUGGUUCCCUUCAGUCCUUUUAAUAAUUAUGGUACCAUCUCACACCCUUCUGAUAAAUUCCCUUCUAGUUAAAUUACUCAGGCUUUGUCUAUAUUGUUUGCAACUAAAGAAAACCAAUUUAUGCAUGUGCAUCAAGUUAGUGAGAUGGUAGAUGAUUUUAAGAGUAAUUAGCUCCAUAAUAUGCCUCUGCUUCCCUAGUAGUACAAACAUUAUUGUAUUAUUUAGAUUCAAGUUCUGAAAGAGCUGUUUAAGUGGAAGUUGAUACUUUGUGACACUGCAACAAGAGGUAAAAGAUGUAGUUACGAAGCAACCUCAAGCAACACCUGUAAUCUUCUGUAUAUGGAGAAAGUGAUGGAUUAAUGAGGCAGGUCUGGUGUUCCUAAAUCCUGAAGGAUUUAAAACUGGGAUUACAAACUGAAAUGUUGUUAGUGAAUGAGCACUGAUGCAAAUGAGUGAGUCAUCCAAUAUAUGCUUACUUCCGUGAAGAAAUAAUGCCCAUUUCUCUUCAGCUUUUCCUGUCUGUCUUUUCAGUUUCUACCUUGGAUAGAGACAUGUGCAGAGACAUAUUGCUGGACUCUAAGGAAAACACCAGUGACAGUUUAGUGAUGAAUGGCAACUGAAACUCACCCACUUUUCUAGGGAAACAAUGGGAUCAUAAAGACUCAAGAAACUGGAGAAUAUAUGCCCUUUACAUGAAGCAACAUUCCUGAUUUUUUUUUUUUUAAAGUGGUGAGAAUUAUUACUUUUCUUAAAUGUACAAUAAUCUGUUUUUAUAUUUUGGCAACUAAUCUAAUUUAAAAACUAAAACAAAAACAAAAACAAAAAAACAGUGCGUCAGGCCAGGAAAACAAGUAAGCAUUCUGUUCCCAAACAAUACUAGAAGCUGGGUUGUGAUAAUGAGUCUGGAUUGGAGGCAUGUAAAACAUUUACUGACCACAACACUUAAGCAAACAAAAUAUUUUUACAAAGUAAAAUCAUAAGCUAGAACAAGCCAAGCCAGUCAUGGAAUAAAUCUCUGGGGGUAGCCUGGUGGAGCCUCCAGGGCCCAGCAAGUGAUGAACAGUAUGCAGAGAGAGGAACACUCUUCUAGUGCUGGCAGCUCUGGAGGGCAUUUUGAUGCACUUUGCUAGGCCAAAUAAGUGAAUCAUGUCUGCGUCAGGAAGUGGUUUGAUUACCUCAUUAUGUAUACAUUACAAAUAAUUUUUUUUUCUUUAUAGGGCCACACCUGCAGCAUAUGGAGGUUCGUUAACCACUGAGACACGACGGGAACUCCAGAAAUCAAAAAUUUUAAAGUAAAUAUUGAUAUUCCAAAUUUAUGAACUUAUUCCUCCCAGGGCUUGGAGUGCUUGAAGCUAAAAGAAAAGAAUGCUGUAUCCAUGUCAAGUUGUAUUUAGACUACUGCAUUUUACAACAUGGGUUACCUGGAAAAAUGAACCAUUGUUUUGCCACUGAGCAUCUUCAAAGAAGAGAAUAAGAUUGACAUCACUGUUCACAUCCAUUAGUCAAACUACAGUUGCUUUGGACAGGUAGUUUCCAGAAUGCAUCAGUCUCAUUUACACCCAACAGAAGGAACAUACAGUGUGCCUUUUUUUUUUUUUUUUUUGCUGUGACAUGAGGAUCCCAGAUACUAAGGCAGAAAGUGGUUUUUGACACAAAAUGCUUUUAGGAAAAAGACUGGAAGUAGGAGGUGAAAUGAAGAGUAAAUUUUCUGUAUGCUAAUGAUUAUAGAGAAAAAAGGAACAAUCCAAUUGUACUUAGGGGCUAGACCAAAAUAAUUGAGCAAACAAAAUAAUACAGCAGGAAAUCAACGGAUCUGAUAAACAGUGAAACAGUGAUUUUCCCCAAAGAAAUGCCACAUAGCUCUAAGUGUGUCUAAGAAUGUAGAAGAUUUUUCUAAUUCUUGGAAGUUUUUGUUCUAAUAAAUGCCACUAUACUAUUUACCAAUUUUAAGUUGUUCAUUUCUUGUACCCCAGGCAUUCUGC